CCCUUAGAUGUUCUGGGCCGCACGCGCGCUACACUGAUGCAUUCAACGAGUCUAAAACCUGCUCUGAUAGGGGUGGGUAAUCUUUUGAAUGUGCAUCGUGAUUGGGAUAGAUGAUUGCAAUUUUUCAUCUUCAACGAGGAAUGCCUAGUAAACGCAAGUCAUCAGCUUGCAUUGAUUACGUCCCUGCCCUUUGUACACACCGCCCGUCGCUCCUACCGAUUGAAUGAUCCGAUGAAUAUCAUGGAUUGAGGAUGCAAGCAGGUUCGCCUGUCUUCAGCUUCGAGAAGUGAAGUAAAUCUUAUCAUUUAGAGGAAGGAGAAGUCGUAACA
RNAcentral lists this ribosomal RNA (329 nucleotides) under uncultured eukaryote. Its description in RNAcentral is "partial 18S ribosomal RNA". It matches the Rfam family "Eukaryotic small subunit ribosomal RNA", at positions 1470 to 1796 of the family's 1831-position model. The record is from RNAcentral.